AACGGUCCUAAGGUAGCGAAAUUCCUUGUCGGGUAAGUUCCGACCCGCACGAAAGGCGUAACGAUUUGGGCACUGUCUCAACAACAGACUCGGUGAAAUUGUAAUUCCGGUGAAGAUGCCGGAUACCUGCGACAGGACGGAAAGACCCCAUGGAGCUUUACUGUAGCUUGACAUUGGGUCUUGGUACUACAUGUACAGGAUAGGUGGGAGGCUUUGA
Molecule: ribosomal RNA, 217 nt
Filed under: Clostridioides difficile
Lineage: Bacteria; Bacillati; Bacillota; Clostridia; Peptostreptococcales; Peptostreptococcaceae
Description: partial 23S ribosomal RNA
Rfam family: Bacterial large subunit ribosomal RNA
Source: RNAcentral